UAAGAUCUUUAAAUUCAGAUUACCCGAGAGGCUAACAAAGCUAACCCUAUCAAAUGAUUCGUUGCCACAAACUGAAAUGUCUAAUAUCAUGAGAUUACCAAAUUUAGUGGUUCUCAAGUUAGAGCAUUGGUAAUAUCAGGAAUGAAAAUGGGACAUUAAAGAAGAAUAGUUUCACUAACCUCAAGGUUCUUAGAUUGAUGUCCCUCAGAAUUACAUAAAGGAAUG
This 225-nucleotide long non-coding RNA is filed under the name Nicotiana benthamiana. RNAcentral's name for it is "long non-coding RNA (NBEN_LNC019908)". Lineage: Eukaryota; Viridiplantae; Streptophyta; Magnoliopsida; Solanales; Solanaceae. The record is from RNAcentral.